GGGUGUAUAGCUCAAUGGUAGAGUGCUGUCCUAGCAUAAACAAAGCCCUGGAUUUGAUCCCCAGUACUACCA
This 72-nucleotide transfer RNA is filed under the name Marmota monax (woodchuck). It matches the Rfam family "tRNA". From Rfam's summary of the family: Transfer RNA (tRNA) molecules are approximately 80 nucleotides in length. Their secondary structure includes four short double-helical elements and three loops (D, anti-codon, and T loops). Further hydrogen bonds mediate the characteristic L-shaped molecular structure. tRNAs have two regions of fundamental functional importance: the anti-codon, which is responsible for specific mRNA codon recognition, and the 3' end, to which the tRNAs corresponding amino acid is attached (by aminoacyl-tRNA synthetases). tRNAs cope with the degeneracy of the genetic code in two manners: having more than one tRNA (with a specific anti-codon) for a particular amino acid; and 'wobble' base-pairing, i.e. permitting non-standard base-pairing at the 3rd anti-codon position. The record is from Rfam by way of RNAcentral. Lineage: Eukaryota; Metazoa; Chordata; Mammalia; Rodentia; Sciuridae.